GAUGAACGCUGGCGGCGUGCUUAACACAUGCAAGUCGAACGGAAAGGCUCAAGCUUGCUUGGGUACUCGAGUGGCGAACGGGUGAGUAACACGUGGGUGAUCUGCCCUGCACUUCGGGAUAAGCCUGGGAAACUGGGUCUAAUACCGGAUAGGACCACAUUUUGGAUGGUGUGGUGGAAAGUUUUUCGGUGUGGGAUGAGCUCGCGGCCUAUCAGCUUGUUGGUGGGGUAAUGGCCUACCGAGGCGUCGACGGGUAGCCGGCCUGAGAGGGUGUACGGCCACAUUGGGACUGAGAUACGGCCCAGACUCCUACGGGAGGCAGCAGUGGGGAAUAUUGCACAAUGGGCGCAAGCCUGAUGCAGCGACGCCGCGUGGGGGAUGACGGCCUUCGGGUGGUAAACUCCUUUCGCUAGGGACGAAGCGCAAGUGACGGUACCUGGAGAAGAAGCACCGGCUAACUACGU
RNAcentral lists this ribosomal RNA (464 nucleotides) under uncultured bacterium. Its description in RNAcentral is "partial 16S ribosomal RNA". It matches the Rfam family "Bacterial small subunit ribosomal RNA", at positions 28 to 506 of the family's 1533-position model. The record is from RNAcentral.